This 56-nucleotide transfer RNA is filed under the name Coleoptera sp. ACP-2013. Its description in RNAcentral is "tRNA-Ser". Lineage: Eukaryota; Metazoa; Arthropoda; Insecta; Coleoptera. The record is from RNAcentral.
AAAUAUUUAAAUUAAGCUUCUAACUUAAAUACUGAAUAAAUUUAUUCAUAUUUCUU